This 24-nucleotide ribosomal RNA is filed under the name Parmelina pastillifera. RNAcentral's name for it is "partial 18S ribosomal RNA". The record is from RNAcentral. Lineage: Eukaryota; Fungi; Ascomycota; Lecanoromycetes; Lecanorales; Parmeliaceae.
CCCUGAACCUGCGGAAGGAUCAUU